UGUGUGUGUGUGUGUGUGUAUGUGUGUAGUGUGUGUGUAGUGUGUGUGUGUACUGUAUGUGUGUAGUGUGUGUGUAGCGUGUGUGUGUGUGUAGUGUGUGUGUAGCGUGUGUAGUGUCCAGACACUCUUCAUAUUAGCAUCAUUAGUGGUUCAGCUGCUUCAGGACUUGAAAUGUUGAAGAUCUUGGACCUUCUUCUGAGGCAUAGAAGACUUCCACAUCAUCCCCUGAAACAAAGUCAACGUCCCCAUAAGGCCCUGUUUAAAAAGGUAGUGCACUACACAGGCAAUAGGGUGCCAUUCGGGACAGAACCAAACACUUUCUUUCAGAAGUCAUUGGUGCUUCCUGCACCUCAUCUGAGACUGUAAAGACUUUAAAGUUAAUACAACAUUUACAUUUCUUUCUUUUUUUUUUAAACGGACAAAUUAAUGAAAUCUCAACUUCCUGCCAAAUAAAAGUAAACUUGUCCAUCCUCUCAAAUACAUAGAGACACAUGAAAUGAAUAUUAGGAGACCUGAUGUACAGAAACCAGUGUUAAAAAUGAUUCAAACAGCUCCUAACUAGAGCCUCAUAACUAUGUUCCAAAUGGCACCUAUUCUCUAUACACUACACUGCUUUGGACCAGAACCCAUCUGGACCGGGACCCAUCUGGACCGGGACCCAUCUGGACCGGGACCCAUCUGGACCGGAGCCCAUCUGGACCGGAGCCCAUCUGGACCGGAGCCCAUCUGGACCGGGACCCAUCUGGACCAGGACCCAUCUGGACCGGGACCCAUCUGGACCAGACCCAUCUGGACCGGGACCCAUCUGGAGCCCAUCUGGACCCAUCUGGACCAGAGCCCAUCUGGACCCAUCUGGACCAGAGCCCAUCUGGACCCAUCUGGACCAGAGCCCAUCUGGACCCAUCUGGACCAGAGCCCAUCUGGACCCAUCUGGACCAGAGCCCAUCUGGACCCAUCUGAACCAGAGCCCAUCUGGACCCAUCUGAACCAGAGCCCAUCUGGACCCAUCUGGACCAGAGCCCAUCUGGACCCAUCUGGACCAGAGCCCAUCUGGACCCAUCUGGACCAGAGCCCAUCUGGACCCAUCUGGACCAGAGCCCAUCUGGACCCAUCUGGACCAGAGCCCAUCUGGGCCCAUCUGGACCAGAGCCCAUCUGGACCCAUCUGGACCAGAGCCCAUCUGGACCCAUCUGGACCAGAGCCCAUCUUGGCCCAUCUGGACUAUACAGGGAAUAGGGUGCCAUUUGGGACGAAUCUUUCAAAAGGAUUGUUGGGGGGGGUCAUAUUUGUCCUGUCACACACAAGUGUAUUUCUUGCAUAUCCCAACUCCCCCGAAACACCUGCAGGGAGUGGGGUCACGGUCAGGGUCACCAUAUCCCAACUCCCCCUGAGACACCUGCAGGGAGUGGGGUCACGGUCAGGGUCACCACAUCCCAACUCCCCCUGAGACACCUGCAGGGAGUGGGGUCACAGUCAGGGUCACCAUAUCCCAACUCCCC
This is a long non-coding RNA of Oncorhynchus tshawytscha (Chinook salmon), 1499 nucleotides long. The record is from Ensembl. Lineage: Eukaryota; Metazoa; Chordata; Actinopteri; Salmoniformes; Salmonidae.